This 141-nucleotide ribosomal RNA is filed under the name uncultured bacterium. Its description in RNAcentral is "partial 16S rRNA". It matches the Rfam family "Bacterial small subunit ribosomal RNA", at positions 355 to 511 of the family's 1533-position model. The record is from RNAcentral.
UGGGGAAUUUUCCGCAAUGGGCGAAAGCCUGACGGAGCAAUGCCGCGUGGAGGUGGAGGGCCUACGGGUCGUCAACUUCUUUUCUCGGAGAAGAAACAAUGACGGUAUCUGAGGAAUAAGCAUCGGCUAACUCUGUGCCAG